GUAAAACUUCAUUACUAAUAUGAUGUACCCACUGCAUCAAUUUUAAUUAUUUUAUUAAGGGAUUUCCAUUGCAAUAAUUCCCUCAUUAAUAAGUAUCUAGGUUCUAUCAUACAAAAGAACAAAGUUUUAGACGAGAAAUUCAUAUUAUCAAAACAUGAUCAAAACAUGAUGGAUAAAAUGGAAGAGUCUCGCAGGUUAAGCGAUGAUAGGAUCCCAAGAAAGUAAAAAAUAAGUUAUAUUUGCAUAUCUAAGGGAUAAUAUAUCUACAAGAUAAGUUAUUUAAUUUAAUUUUUAAAAUUAAUUUUACCAUUAAAUAUGAAAACAAAUUAAAUAUUGGAGCUAGAAAAUCUAAUUUUUGUUGUAUAAAAAUUUACCAUUAUUACAUACUGUUAUUAGGUACUUGAUUUUGAAAGUUAUUUCUGUGGUUUCUCAUGUUUAUUAAGAGAGCAUUAGUCUGGCCUUACAUGCUCUCUUCAAUUGGCAUAAUGUAAUGGAGGUUAAAACUCAUUUUGAUUAAUUAGUGUAGAUCAUAAGAUUUGCUCAAUUAUUUGUUUGUUUUCUGCAAAAGGAAAAAAUCUCUUUUCCCCCCUUUUGCAUACAAGAUGUAUGAUGUCCUAUUUUGAUUAGAAUUCUAAGCAAUUUUGAUCUUCGAGUUGUAAAUAUUUUCUUGCAG
This 673-nucleotide unclassified non-coding RNA is filed under the name Hevea brasiliensis (rubber tree). Lineage: Eukaryota; Viridiplantae; Streptophyta; Magnoliopsida; Malpighiales; Euphorbiaceae. The record is from RNAcentral.